This 482-nucleotide ribosomal RNA is filed under the name uncultured bacterium. Its description in RNAcentral is "bacterial SSU rRNA". It matches the Rfam family "Bacterial small subunit ribosomal RNA", at positions 28 to 521 of the family's 1533-position model. The record is from RNAcentral.
GACGAACGUUGGCGGCGCGCCUAACACAUGCAAGUCGAGCGUGAUUGCAGCUGUAGCAAUACAGUUGCAUGAAAGCGGCGGACGGGUGAGUAACACGUAGGUAAUCUACCUAUCAGACUAGGAUAACCUGCCGAAAGGUGGGCUAAUACUGGAUAUUUUUACGGUCUCGCAUGAGACUGUAAAGAAAGAUUUAUUGCUGAUAGAUGAACCUGCGGCCUAUCAGCUAGUUGGCGGGGUAAUGGCCCACCAAGGCUAUGACGGGUAGCUGGUCUUAGAGGACGAUCAGCCACACUGGAACUGAGACACGGUCCAGACUCCUACGGGAGGCAGCAGUGAGGAAUUUUCCGCAAUGGGCGAAAGCCUGACGGAGCGACGCCGUGUGGGUGAUGAAGGCUUUCGGGUCUUAAAGCCCUGUCAGCAGGGAAGAUAUUGACGGUACCUGCAGAGGAAGCCCCGGCUAACUACGUGCCAGCAGCCGCGGU